Molecule: transfer-messenger RNA, 346 nt
Filed under: compost metagenome
Description: transfer-messenger RNA, SsrA
Rfam family: transfer-messenger RNA
About the family: Bacterial tmRNA, also known as 10Sa RNA or SsrA, is named for its dual tRNA and mRNA-like properties. Its role is to liberate the mRNA from a stalled ribosome.
Source: RNAcentral
GGGGGCGUACUGGCUUCGACGUGGGUGCUGAAACAUAAGGAGCAUACCGGGGCGCAUGAGGACCUCGAUAAAAACGUGCAAAUUGUAAUUGGCAACGAUUACGCACUUGCAGCUUAAUUGACUGCACGAUCUUCCUUGAGGUGGUUGCGCUCUUGGAAAGAUUGUCAUUUAGUGACCUCGGUGGACUGGGUUUUCUCCAGCAGGUUCGCUUAAAUUUACUGGGGGAAUGUUUGAGAGGAAUUUUGUCGAUGGAGGUCCUCUCAUCAUAUUAAAACAUCGACUAAGUAUGUAGCGCCUUAUCGCGGAUCACUUGCGGACGCGGGUUCAAUUCCCGCCGCCUCCACCA